RNAcentral lists this long non-coding RNA (1233 nucleotides) under Equus caballus (horse). RNAcentral's name for it is "lncRNA (ENSECAG00000054035.1)". The record is from RNAcentral. Lineage: Eukaryota; Metazoa; Chordata; Mammalia; Perissodactyla; Equidae.
CUUAGCUACGCUGGUCGGGGGGCAGGGGCUUCCUGGAGGAAGGGACAUUAACUCUCCCAACAGAGGCUAACAUUCACGGAGAGCUUACCGUGUGCCUGGCCUGACCCCACUGAAUCCUCCCUCAGGACAACCUGGGAGGAAGGGGUUGAUGUUAUCCCUGCUUUACAGAUGGGGAAACCUGGCUCAGAGAACUGGAGCGACUUGCCCCGGCUCACACAGCAGCUGAGGGCAGAGCGGGAAUAUGAACCCAGGAGGUCCAGCUUACUCACAGUCUGGGGAGCGGACUGGACGGGCUUAGAGAGGGCAGCAGAUGAGAAGACCAGGACCAUGGACACCAGGGAGGCGCAAGGGGUCUCCUGGAGCUCAUGGCGAGAGAAGGAGCUGUUGGUGCUGCUAGAAGGUGUGUCCAGGUGCAUAGGUGAGCAAGACCAGGUGUACAGCCCUGACCAAGCGACAGGUGACAAGGCUGCUCUUUAACCCCUUGCUGACAGCUCCUGCUCCCGGGGAAGGGAGGAGGAGAGGGAGGAGCCUCUGAGUUCUGUUUUGUGAGAGACAAGGGAAUCCCGCCGUUUGUGACAAGGAUGGGCGAGCUCCUCGAGGGCCGGGAGCGUGGGCCGUCUGUGCCGCCGCCUCCAAGCGCCGAUCGAGCCCUGGACAGCGUGUCCUGGCCAGUUGUUCUCUGCACUCGCCGUUCCAGUCCAGGCCCCGGGGCCCGGGAGCUGAUGCCUCCCCAGAGCAGCCCCCAGCCAGCGACGGUGCGAGUGGGGGACAAACGCCCACUCCCUGCCCUGCAGGGGAGAUGGCCCGAGGGUGUGUGGCCCUUCACCCCUGGUUCCCAGCGGGGCUUGAGCCUCAGGGCCCAGGUGGUGGCCGGCCUGGCAACACCUCCUCUGUCCCGGCAUCACCCCCGCCACACAACGCUUAUGGAUGCUGUUUACUGAGCACUUCCUGUGUGCCAGGCCCUGCGUAAAGGGCUUCGAGGGGCUUGCUGUCCUGGAGCCUUAGAGUGGCCCCAGAUUAUGGAUGAGGAAGGGAGCCAAGGUCACAGGGCUGCUGGGACCCAGACCCGGGUCUGAUGGCCUUAGCUAGUCGAGUGAAUGGGAGAGUGAAGCAAUGGGAGGGGACGGUCUCCAGGCCUGAGGGGGGGAGCAAACGACCGGCCUGGAUUCCUGCUGGCACAGGCCCUUUGGAGGGCUCUGGGGAAUGUGAUGGCGUGGGUGAUGGGCGCCUUUG